RNAcentral lists this long non-coding RNA (419 nucleotides) under Cyanistes caeruleus (blue tit). Its description in RNAcentral is "lncRNA (ENSCCEG00000020640.1)". Lineage: Eukaryota; Metazoa; Chordata; Aves; Passeriformes; Paridae. The record is from RNAcentral.
GACAACAGCAAAACAAGAAAUGACUCUCAGAAUGUUGGAUACAUCUGAUAACUGAAAGAGCUCUUCUCAGCCAGUAACAAGGAUGCCAUUUAGUAACCCUUAAAAGGUUUAUUCCAUCUGAUAUGCAGAUUUGAGCCUUCCGGGAUUGAGUUGCUUCUCUGUUGUGCCUAGUGCAGUGAUAUUUAUGAGCCAGAAUCCGUAGUUAUUGAACUGUAUCAUCUUUGACAGUAUUUCAGGAGCUAAGCUCUUCUGGAGAUCUCUUAAAAUGACAAGUUCUGAGUUGUUUUAAGGACUCUGUCCCAUUUCAGUUUGAAAGGUGAGACAGUCCAAAAAAAAGGUGGCCUUUGCCUAAAUUAACAAGGUUAAGUUAUAAAUGGAGUGAAUAGUAUAAAGUAUUUUUUGUGUGUCUUCUUUCACAA